AGUGAACGCUGGCGGCAGGCCUAACACAUGCAAGUCGAACGGCAGCACAGGAGAGCUUGCUCUCUGGGUGGCGAGUGGCGGACGGGUGAGGAAUACAUCGGAAUCUACCUUUUCGUGGGGGAUAACGUAGGGAAACUUACGCUAAUACCGCAUACGACCUUAGGGUGAAAGCGGAGGACCUUCGGGCUUCGCGCGGAUAGAUGAGCCGAUGUCGGAUUAGCUGGUUGGCGGGGUAAAGGCCCACCAAGGCGACGAUCCGUAGCUGGUCUGAGAGGAUGAUCAGCCACACUGGAACUGAGACACGGUCCAGACUCCUACGGGAGGCAGCAGUGGGGAAUAUUGGACAAUGGGCGCAAGCCUGAUCCAGCCAUGCCGCGUGGGUGAAGAAGGCCUUCGGGUUGUAAAGCCCUUUUGUUGGGAAAGAAAAGCAGUCGGUUAAUACCCGAUUGUUCUGACGGUACCCAAAGAAUAAGCACCGGCUAACUUCGUGCCAGCCGCCGCAGUAA
Molecule: ribosomal RNA, 506 nt
Filed under: uncultured bacterium
Lineage: Bacteria
Description: partial 16S ribosomal RNA
Rfam family: Bacterial small subunit ribosomal RNA
Source: RNAcentral